CCUAGGCAGAAUCUAAUCACCACUCUUUGAAGUUUGGCAGAAAUAUGUAGAUGCUGACAUUAAACAUUAGGGAUAGUUUAAUUCAUGGAUCUCUACAAAGCAUUUCAGUGAACAAUACUGUUUAUGUUCCUCGACAUAUUUCCUGUCUACACCUCAGUUUUACAAUGAGUAAUACAAGAGAAAAGACCUUCAUAUACAUGAAGGCAGUAAACAAGAAUAUCAAACAGAUCAAAUAAUCAAGUCUCCAUUCCCUGUAGGGACCUUGUCUGCAUUAGCAGAUGCCUGGUACUGUAGCUUAUGGUGCUUCUGUGGACAUAGUAACAUUAGAGAGUUGUAGAGGACACAGAAAAUGCCUUAAGACUGCAGUUCUUGAUUGAUGUAAAUAUCUAUUCUAGAGGGUAGCAGUAUUGGGGUACAUUGGAUUGAAGAUACAUUUGUGUAAAUCCCCUGCUGGGCCAUGAAGCCUGACUAGGAUGCCACAUAAUGGCAAAGAUGAGAUGUCAUUCCACUAAUAAUUACACAAUCAUCCCUUAUUAUUACGACUUUCAUCUACAUGAUAUUUAUACAAUGUCAUGUCAUAACUGAUCAUCUUAAAGCUGGAAUCCUUAUUGGUGAAACAGCCACAACCAUUUGCGAUAUUACAACAAAGAAGUUACUGCAAACAACAAACACAGUUUUUUCAACUAUGACAUCAUUUAACACAUCAUAGAAGAGUACUGCAAAACAUUUUUUACCAUGCUACGUGAUGCUCCUCAUCUCAGCAACAAAAACAAUAACAAUGGUGCUGGGGUGGCCAUUGGCGCCGUUUUCAUCUUUAGUUCACAUCCUCUACAGUAGUCCUGCAGAUUUGUCCCGUGAUGUGAGGUAUCUUCCUCUCGUAUCGCUCCAUUUGGAAGCUAACACAUUUGGACUGCACUCCCACACUCUCACAAAAUUUGAUGGUCACUUUUCCUGGUACCAAUAAUGGUUCCUUGAACUGGGCGGUGACAGAGAUGGGGGCUCUAAUGGCAUCAACUCCUGUGGAAUCAAUGGAUGUUCGGAAAAUAUCAAUCAAGGUGAUAGAUUGAGGAUAAAUAGAGUAUGGACAGCAACAACAACAAAAAUACUGUUUGAG
This 1114-nucleotide long non-coding RNA is filed under the name Salmo salar (Atlantic salmon). Its description in RNAcentral is "lncRNA (ENSSSAG00000118616.1)". The record is from RNAcentral. Lineage: Eukaryota; Metazoa; Chordata; Actinopteri; Salmoniformes; Salmonidae.